This 459-nucleotide ribosomal RNA is filed under the name uncultured bacterium. Its description in RNAcentral is "partial 16S ribosomal RNA". It matches the Rfam family "Bacterial small subunit ribosomal RNA", at positions 338 to 795 of the family's 1533-position model. The record is from RNAcentral.
CCUACGGGAGGCAGCAGUGAGGAAUAUUGGUCAAUGGCCGAGAGGCUGAACCAGCCAAGUAGCGUGAAGGAAGACGGCCCUACGGGUUGUAAACCUCUUUUGUCGGGGAGCAAAGCGAGUCACGUGUGACUCAUUGAGAGUACCCGAAGAAAAAGCAUCGGCUAACUCCGUGCCAGCAGCCGCGGUAAUACGGAGGAUGCGAGCGUUAUCCGGAUUUAUUGGGUUUAAAGGGUGCGCAGGGGGAGGUGCAAGUCAGCGGUCAAAUUGCGGGGCUCAACCCCGUACUGCCGUUGAAACUGGGUGCCUUGAGUGCGGGAGAAGUAUGCGGAAUGCGUGGUGUAGCGGUGAAAUGCAUAGAUAUCACGAAGAACUCCGAUUGCGAAGGCAGCAUACCGGCGCGCAACUGACGCUCAUGCACGAAAGCGUGGGUAUCGAACAGGAUUAGAUACCCCAGUAGUC